CUUUGACGGAAACGUCUGUGCGGGGCAUGAUAUCCGUUAGUAAGACCUGUUUCACUGUCUUUUAUCUCUCGGUCAUCAUCACACAUGGAGGGGCUGCACAUUUUUCUGGUCGUUCUCUUAGGAGUUGUAUCCUGCAGUCAUGAUUCAAUUUCUGGAUCAGUGUUGGAGGCGACAGUCAGACCAGGAGACAACAUCACUCUCUACUGUGACUGUAAAUCAUCAAGUGGAGUAUACAUAGUGUGGUACAGGAACUGCUCUCAUGAGAACCAGCCUUCUCUUGUCCUUAGAGUAAUACGCGGUCCAUCGGCGGCCGACGAAUCUUAUUAUAAUCUGAAGAUUCUCCCUCGUUUUCAAUUUGUGAGCAACUCUUCUUCUGAAUCCUAUGACCUGCUGAUCAUGAACAUCACUGAGUCUGAUGAGGGCCUCUACUACUGUGGAACUGAACAG
Sebastes umbrosus (honeycomb rockfish) is the source of this 447-nucleotide long non-coding RNA. RefSeq lists it as uncharacterized. NCBI's taxonomy places the organism in Eukaryota, Metazoa, Chordata, Actinopteri, Perciformes, Sebastidae. The record is from RefSeq and is a predicted model, not a curated record. The transcript has 2 exons.